UGGGGAAUAUUGCACAAUGGGGGAAACCCUGAUGCAGCGACGCCGCGUGAACGAAGAAGGUAUUCGUAUCGUAAAGUUCUGUCCUAUGGGAAGAUAAUGACAGUACCAUAGAAGAAAGCUCCGGCUAAAUACGUGCCAGCAGCCGCGGUAAUACGUAUGGAGCGAGCGUUGUCCGGAAUUAUUGGGCGUAAAGGGUACGCAGGCGGUUUAAUAAGUCGAAUGUUAAAGAUCGGGGCUCAACCCCGUAAAGCAUUGGAAACUGAUAAACUUGAGUAGUGGAGAGGACAGUGGAAUUCCUAGUGUAGUGGUGAAAUACGUAGAUAUUAGGAGGAAUACCAGUAGCGAAGGCGACUUUCUGGACACAAACUGACGCUGAGGUACGAAAGCGUGGGGGGCAAACAGG
Molecule: ribosomal RNA, 403 nt
Filed under: bacterium
Lineage: Bacteria
Description: partial 16S ribosomal RNA
Rfam family: Bacterial small subunit ribosomal RNA
Source: RNAcentral